RNAcentral lists this ribosomal RNA (465 nucleotides) under Clostridioides difficile. RNAcentral's name for it is "bacterial SSU rRNA". It matches the Rfam family "Bacterial small subunit ribosomal RNA", at positions 338 to 795 of the family's 1533-position model. Lineage: Bacteria; Bacillati; Bacillota; Clostridia; Peptostreptococcales; Peptostreptococcaceae. The record is from RNAcentral.
CCUACGGGAGGCAGCAGUGGGGAAUAUUGGACAAUGGGCGAAAGCCUGAUCCAGCCAUGCCGCGUGUGUGAAGAAGGUCUUCGGAUUGUAAAGCACUUUAAGUUGGGAGGAAGGGCAGUAAGUUAAUACCUUGCUGUUUUGACGUUACCAACAGAAUAAGCACCGGCUAACUUCGUGCCAGCAGCCGCGGUAAUACGAAGGGUGCAAGCGUUAAUCGGAAUUACUGGGCGUAAAGCGCGCGUAGGUGGUUCAGCAAGUUGGAUGUGAAAUCCCCGGGCUCAACCUGGGAACUGCAUCCAAAACUACUGAGCUAGAGUACGGUAGAGGGUGGUGGAAUUUCCUGUGUAGCGGUGAAAUGCGUAGAUAUAGGAAGGAACACCAGUGGCGAAGGCGACCACCUGGACUGAUACUGACACUGAGGUGCGAAAGCGUGGGGAGCAAACAGGAUUAGAUACCCUAGUAGUC